CCUGAGAAACCCAAAAGAUCGAAUGGGGAGAUUCAUCGUCAGCUCAUUUUGUAUAUAUAUAAGUUAUGAUAUAGGUUACUAUUUAUUUAGUAUUGCUUAUACAUUCUUAUAUAUUUAUUAGCAAGAUGUUGUCGGCGUGCAUUUCUUCCCUAGUAGAACGUCGCGACCCGUUGAGUGUUGGUUUACGGCUCAAUUGUAUAAGUCUUUAAUAUUUUUAUAUAUUAAAGUCAAUUGAUGUUUUCUAACCAUCUAUUCGGCGGUAUACGUAAGGUAUUAAGCCGCAAUUAUAUGCGUUCAUUACCGUCACAAGCGAGGCUUAUUACUAAUAGUAUGGACUUAGUGCUGUCGUUAGUAUUGGCCAGCUGUUGGUUGUUACGGUUUUCUAGAACUGGCUUAAAUUAAUUUAAUUUAAUACCGGUCGGCGAUGCUAAUGCUUUGGGUACUUUCAGGACCCGUCUUGAAACACGGACCAAGGAGUCUAACAUGUACGCAAGUCAUUGGGAUAUUUUUUUAUAAAAUUAAACCUAAAGGCGUAAUGAAAGUAAAGGUCGUCCUAGCGUCGACUAAGGGAAGAUGAUUUAUAUUAUUAUUAAUAUAAUUUCGCACUCCCGGGGCGUCUCAUUCUUAUUAUAAGAAGAGGCGCACUUAG
This 649-nucleotide ribosomal RNA is filed under the name Colastomion crambidiphagus. RNAcentral's name for it is "eukaryotic LSU rRNA". It matches the Rfam family "Eukaryotic large subunit ribosomal RNA", at positions 386 to 798 of the family's 3401-position model. The record is from RNAcentral. Lineage: Eukaryota; Metazoa; Arthropoda; Insecta; Hymenoptera; Braconidae.